AACCCCUGUGAACAUACCACUUGUUGCCUCGGCGGAUCAGCCCGCUCCCGGUAAAACGGGACGGCCCGCCAGAGGACCCCUAAACUCUGUUUCUAUAUGUAACUUCUGAGUAAAACCAUAAAUAAAUCAAAACUUUCAACAACGGAUCUCUUGGUUCUGGCAUCGAUGAAGAACGCAGCAAAAUGCGAUAAGUAAUGUGAAUUGCAGAAUUCAGUGAAUCAUCGAAUCUUUGAACGCACAUUGCGCCCGCCAGUAUUCUGGCGGGCAUGCCUGUUCGAGCGUCAUUUCAACCCUCAAGCACAGCUUGGUGUUGGGACUCGCGUUAAUUCGCGUUCCCCAAAUUGAUUGGCGGUCACGUCGAGCUUCCAUAGCGUAGUAGUAAAACCCUCGUUACUGGUAAUCGUCGCGGCCACGCCGUUAAACCCCAACUUCUGAAUGUUGACCUCGGAUCAGGUAGGAAUACCCGCUGAACUUAAGCAUAU
RNAcentral lists this ribosomal RNA (482 nucleotides) under Fusarium cf. oxysporum MP4CTDO4-11-M2. RNAcentral describes it as "eukaryotic LSU rRNA". The stretch from base 131 to 284 matches the Rfam family "5.8S ribosomal RNA". The record is from RNAcentral. Lineage: Eukaryota; Fungi; Ascomycota; Sordariomycetes; Hypocreales; Nectriaceae.